This 496-nucleotide ribosomal RNA is filed under the name uncultured bacterium. Its description in RNAcentral is "partial 16S ribosomal RNA". It matches the Rfam family "Bacterial small subunit ribosomal RNA", at positions 29 to 507 of the family's 1533-position model. The record is from RNAcentral.
AUGAACGCUGGCGGCGUGCCUCAUCCAUGCCAGUCGAGCGAACGGACGAGAAGCUUGCUUUUCUGAUGUUAGCGGCGGACGGGUGAGUAACACGUGGAUAACCUACCUAUAAGACUGGGAUAACUUCGGGAAACCGGAGCUAAUACCGGAUAAUAUUUUGAACCGCAUGGUUCAAAAGUGAAAGACGGUCUUGCUGUCACUUAUAGAUGGAUCCGCGCUGCAUUAGCUAGUUGGUAAGGUAACGGCUUACCAAGGCAACGAUGCAUAGCCGACCUGAGAGGGUGAUCGGCCACACUGGAACUGAGACACGGUCCAGACUCCUACGGGAGGCAGCAGUAGGGAAUCUUCCGCAAUGGGCGAAAGCCUGACGGAGCAACGCCGCGUGAGUGAUGAAGGUCUUCGGAUCGUAAAACUCUGUUAUUAGGGAAGAACAUAUGUGUAAGUAACUGUGCACAUCUUGACGGUACCUAAUCAGAAAGCCACGGCUAACUACGUG